AAGUCGAACGAAGUAGCAAUACUUAGUGGCAGACGGGUGAGUAACAUGUAGGUAUCUGCCCUUUGGCCUGGAAUAACACGAGGAAACUUGUGCUAAUACCGGAUAAGUCUUUACGGAGAAAGCUUUAUGCACCAUUGGAUGAGCCUGCACUUGAUUAGUUUGUUGGUAGGGUAAUGGCCUACCAAGACUGUGAUCAAUAGCUGAUUUGAGAGGAUGAUCAGCCACAUUGGGACUGAGACACGGCCCAAACUCCUACGGGAGGCAGCAGUGGGGAAUCUUGCACAAUGGAGGAAACUCUGAUGCAGCGAUGCCGCGUGAGUGAAGAAGGCCCUUGGGUUGUAAAGCUCUUUCGUCGGGGAAGAAAAUGACUGUACCCGAAUAAGAAGGUCCGGCUAACUUCGUGCCAGCAGCCGCGGUAAUACGAAGGGACCUAGCGUAGUUCGGAAUUACUGGGCUUAAAGAGUUCGUAGGUGGUUGAAAAAGUUAGUGGUGAAAU
This 496-nucleotide ribosomal RNA is filed under the name uncultured marine bacterium. Its description in RNAcentral is "bacterial SSU rRNA". It matches the Rfam family "Bacterial small subunit ribosomal RNA", at positions 59 to 600 of the family's 1533-position model. The record is from RNAcentral.